AGUGCCUUAUGAAGAGGAUAAUAGGGAAACCGGUGAAAGUCCGGUGCAGCCCCCGCUACUGUAAGCAUUAUUUGGACGGCCCAAAUUGCCACUGGAGAAAUCCGGGAAGGCUUGGGCCGGUUGAUGCGAAGCCAGGAGACCUGCUCUAAGA
RNAcentral lists this non-coding RNA (151 nucleotides) under Bacillus testis. Lineage: Bacteria; Bacillati; Bacillota; Bacilli; Caryophanales; Bacillaceae. The record is from RNAcentral.